RNAcentral lists this ribosomal RNA (2336 nucleotides) under Salmonella enterica. Its description in RNAcentral is "partial 23S ribosomal RNA". It matches the Rfam family "Bacterial large subunit ribosomal RNA", at positions 614 to 2925 of the family's 2925-position model. Lineage: Bacteria; Pseudomonadati; Pseudomonadota; Gammaproteobacteria; Enterobacterales; Enterobacteriaceae. The record is from RNAcentral. RNAcentral also lists the same sequence under 2 other names.
AAUGGGUCAGCGACUUAUAUUCUGUAGCAAGGUUAACCGAAUAGGGGAGCCGGAGGGAAACCGAGUCUUAACCGGGCGUUAAGUUGCAGGGUAUAGACCCGAAACCCGGUGAUCUAGCCAUGGGCAGGUUGAAGGUUGGGUAACACUAACUGGAGGACCGAACCGACUAAUGUUGAAAAAUUAGCGGAUGACCUGUGGCUGGGGGUGAAAGGCCAAUCAAACCGGGAGAUAGCUGGUUCUCCCCGAAAGCUAUUUAGGUAGCGCCUCGUGAAUUCAUCUCCGGGGGUAGAGCACUGUUUCGGCUAGGGGGCCAUCCCGGCUUACCAACCCGAUGCAAACUGCGAAUACCGGAGAAUGUUAUCACGGGAGACACACGGCGGGUGCUAACGUCCGUCGUGAAGAGGGAAACAACCCAGACCGCCAGCUAAGGUCCCAAAGUCAUGGUUAAGUGGGAAACGAUGUGGGAAGGCCCAGACAGCCAGGAUGUUGGCUUAGAAGCAGCCAUCAUUUAAAGAAAGCGUAAUAGCUCACUGGUCGAGUCGGCCUGCGCGGAAGAUGUAACGGGGCUAAACCAUGCACCGAAGCUGCGGCAGCGACGCUGAUGCGUUGUUGGGUAGGGGAGCGUUCUGUAAGCCUGCGAAGGUGGCCUGUGAGGGUUGCUGGAGGUAUCAGAAGUGCGAAUGCUGACAUAAGUAACGAUAAAGCGGGUGAAAAGCCCGCUCGCCGGAAGACCAAGGGUUCCUGUCCAACGUUAAUCGGGGCAGGGUGAGUCGACCCCUAAGGCGAGGCCGAAAGGCGUAGUCGAUGGGAAACGGGUUAAUAUUCCCGUACUUGGUGUUACUGCGAAGGGGGGACGGAGAAGGCUAUGUUGGCCGGGCGACGGUUGUCCCGGUUUAAGCGUGUAGGUGUGUGUUCCAGGUAAAUCCGGUUCACUUUAACACUGAGGCGUGAUGACGAGGCACUACGGUGCUGAAGCAACAAAUGCCCUGCUUCCAGGAAAAGCCUCUAAGCAUCAGGUAACAUCAAAUCGUACCCCAAACCGACACAGGUGGUCAGGUAGAGAAUACCAAGGCGCUUGAGAGAACUCGGGUGAAGGAACUAGGCAAAAUGGUGCCGUAACUUCGGGAGAAGGCACGCUGACACGUAGGUGAAGUGAUUUACUCAUGGAGCUGAAGUCAGUCGAAGAUACCAGCUGGCUGCAACUGUUUAUUAAAAACACAGCACUGUGCAAACACGAAAGUGGACGUAUACGGUGUGACGCCUGCCCGGUGCCGGAAGGUUAAUUGAUGGGGUCAGCGCAAGCGAAGCUCCUGAUCGAAGCCCCGGUAAACGGCGGCCGUAACUAUAACGGUCCUAAGGUAGCGAAAUUCCUUGUCGGGUAAGUUCCGACCUGCACGAAUGGCGUAAUGAUGGCCAGGCUGUCUCCACCCGAGACUCAGUGAAAUUGAACUCGCUGUGAAGAUGCAGUGUACCCGCGGCAAGACGGAAAGACCCCGUGAACCUUUACUAUAGCUUGACACUGAACAUUGAGCCUUGAUGUGUAGGAUAGGUGGGAGGCUUUGAAGUGUGGACGCCAGUCUGCAUGGAGCCGGCCUUGAAAUACCACCCUUUAAUGUUUGAUGUUCUAACGUGGACCCGUGAUCCGGGUUGCGGACAGUGUCUGGUGGGUAGUUUGACUGGGGCGGUCUCCUCCUAAAGAGUAACGGAGGAGCACGAAGGUUGGCUAAUCCUGGUCGGACAUCAGGAGGUUAGUGCAAUGGCAUAAGCCAGCUUGACUGCGAGCGUGACGGCGCGAGCAGGUGCGAAAGCAGGUCAUAGUGAUCCGGUGGUUCUGAAUGGAAGGGCCAUCGCUCAACGGAUAAAAGGUACUCCGGGGAUAACAGGCUGAUACCGCCCAAGAGUUCAUAUCGACGGCGGUGUUUGGCACCUCGAUGUCGGCUCAUCACAUCCUGGGGCUGAAGUAGGUCCCAAGGGUAUGGCUGUUCGCCAUUUAAAGUGGUACGCGAGCUGGGUUUAGAACGUCGUGAGACAGUUCGGUCCCUAUCUGCCGUGGGCGCUGGAGAACUGAGGGGGGCUGCUCCUAGUACGAGAGGACCGGAGUGGACGCAUCACUGGUGUUCGGGUUGUCAUGCCAAUGGCACUGCCCGGUAGCUAAAUGCGGAAGAGAUAAGUGCUGAAAGCAUCUAAGCACGAAACUUGCCCCGAGAUGAGUUCUCCCUGAGACUUAGAGUCUCCUGAAGGAACGUUGAAGACGACGACGUUGAUAGGCCGGGUGUGUAAGCGCAGCGAUGCGUUGAGCUAACCGGUACUAAUGAACCGUGAGGCUUAACCUUACA